AGGGAGUGAGGGCGCGGGUGCUAAGGUCCGUGUCCGAGAGGAGAAGAAUCCAGACCACCGGCUAAGGCCCCCAAAUGAUCGUUGAGUUGAACUAACGAGGUCGGAUCGCAGAGACAGCUAGGAUGUUGGCUUGGAAGCAGCCAUUCAUUUAAAGAGUGCGUAACAGCUCACUAGUCGAGCGAUCUGGCGUGGAUAAUAAUCGGGCAUAAACGAUCUGCCGAAGCCGUGGAUGUCGUAAGACAUGGUAGGGGAGCAUUCCAUGCGGCGUCGAAGAUGAGGGAUGACCCUUGUUGGAGCGCAUGGAAAAGCAAAUGUAGGUAUGAGUAACGAUAAGGGGGGCGAGAAACCCCCCCGCCGAAAGACCAAGGUUUCCUGAUCAACGCUAAUCGGAUCAGGGUGAGUCGGGACCUAAGGCAAAGCCGAACGGCGCCGCCGAUGGAAGAAUGGGUUAAUAUUCCCAUACUGCCUCAUGGAGUGACGUGGAGACGGAGAAGUGACAGUCCUGCCGGCUGACGGAAUAGCCGGUUGAAGGGUGUAGAUAUUGAUUCCCGUAGGCAAAUCCGCGGGGAGAGUCGAACCUGACAGUAUACCGAGUACUUGUACGAGGUAAUAUGGACGUAACCAUGCUCCCAAGAAAAUCCGCUAAACUUAUCCAUGCGGCACCCGUACCGUAAACGGACACACGUGGUCGGGUUGAGAAUACUGAGGCGCUCGAGUGACUCACGGUUAAGGAACUAGGCAAAUUGACCCUGUAACUUCGGGAUAAAGGGUCCUCGUCGUAAGGCGAGGCGCAGAGAAUAGGUCCAGGCAACUGUUUAACAAAAACACAUGGCUAUGCUAAAUGGAAACAUGACGUAUAUAGCCUGACACCUGCCCGGUGCUGGAAGGUUAAGAGGAGAUGUCAUCGCAAGAGAAGCGUUGAAUUGAAGCCCCAGUAAACGGCGGCCGUAACUAUAACGGUCCUAAGGUAGCGAAAUUCCUUGUCGGGUAAGUUCCGACCUGCACGAUCCUAAGGUAGCGAAAUUCCUUGUCGGGUAAGUUCCGACCUGCACGAAUGGUGUAAUGAUCUGGACACUGUCUCAACCGUGAACUCGGUGAAAUUGUAGUAUCGGUGAAGAUGCCGAUUACCCGCAACGGGACGGAAAGACCCCGUGAACCUUUACUGCAACUUAACAUUGAAUUUGGGUAACUGAUGUGUAGGAUAGUCCGGAGACAGAGAAAUGGAUACGCCAGUAUUCAUGGAGUCACCCUUGAAAUACGGACCUUUGGUUAUUUGAGUUCUAACCCGUGGAAAAUGGGGACACUGUUUGGUGGGUAGUUUGACUGGGGUGGUCGCCUCCAAAAGCGUAACGGAGGCUUCUAAAGGUACCCUCAGGCCGAUUGGUAACCGGCCGAAGAGUGUAAUGGCACAAGGGUGCUUGACUGAGAGACCGACAAGUCGAUCAGGUAGGAAACUAGAGCAUAGUGAUCCGGUGGUUCCGUAUGGAAGGGCCAUCGCUCAAAGGAUAAAAGGUACUCCGGGGAUAACAGGCUGAUCGCUCC
This 1542-nucleotide ribosomal RNA is filed under the name human gut metagenome. RNAcentral's name for it is "bacterial LSU rRNA". It matches the Rfam family "Bacterial large subunit ribosomal RNA", at positions 978 to 2492 of the family's 2925-position model. The record is from RNAcentral.